Molecule: ribosomal RNA, 776 nt
Filed under: Enterobacter asburiae
Lineage: Bacteria; Pseudomonadati; Pseudomonadota; Gammaproteobacteria; Enterobacterales; Enterobacteriaceae
Description: partial 23S ribosomal RNA
Rfam family: Bacterial large subunit ribosomal RNA
Source: RNAcentral
UGUAUAAUGGGUCAGCGACUUAUAUUCUGUAGCAAGGUUAACCGUAUAGGGGAGCCGAAGGGAAACCGAGUCUUAACUGGGCGUUAAGUUGCAGGGUAUAGACCCGAAACCCGGUGAUCUAGCCAUGGGCAGGUUGAAGGUUGGGUAACACUAACUGGAGGACCGAACCGACUAAUGUUGAAAAAUUAGCGGAUGACUUGUGGCUGGGGGUGAAAGGCCAAUCAAACCGGGAGAUAGCUGGUUCUCCCCGAAAGCUAUUUAGGUAGCGCCUCGUGAACUCAUCUUCGGGGGUAGAGCACUGUUUCGGCUAGGGGGCCAUCCCGGCUUACCAACCCGAUGCAAACUACGAAUACCGAAGAAUGUUAUCACGGGAGACACACGGCGGGUGCUAACGUCCGUCGUGAAGAGGGAAACAACCCAGACCGCCAGCUAAGGUCCCAAAGUCAUGGUUAAGUGGGAAACGAUGUGGGAAGGCACAGACAGCCAGGAUGUUGGCUUAGAAGCAGCCAUCAUUUAAAGAAAGCGUAAUAGCUCACUGGUCGAGUCGGCCUGCGCGGAAGAUGUAACGGGGCUAAACCAUGCACCGAAGCUGCGGCAGCGACGCGUAUGCGUUGUUGGGUAGGGGAGCGUUCUGUAAGCCGUUGAAGGUGUGCUGUGAGGCAUGCUGGAGGUAUCAGAAGUGCGAAUGCUGACAUAAGUAACGAUAAAGCGGGUGAAAAGCCCGCUCGCCGGAAGACCAAGGGUUCCUGUCCAACGUUAAUCGGGGCAGGGUGAGU